UUUCUUCUGUGUUUCACACCCAGGAGGGAAUGUCUGUAAUAGUUAGGGUAGUUAUGUGUUUUGGCAUUUGAAACGUGAAGAAAUUUUAUGUGCAAACAAAUUCUUUUCAUGCAUUUACUGAUUUUUUUCCAGCUAAAUUACCCUGAAAUUGAAAAGCAAUUCAAAUGAACUCAGAAAAGGUUGAAAGUUGGCAUGGUAUCAUAAUUUCAUAUAAAUAGCAUGUGCAAGAAAGUAGAGAGGGUUACGACAAAAACUGGAUGCACUUCGUGUACAAAAUGGACAAUCUCUUUCGAAGUAUCAGGGUUUCCGACGAAAACUGAACUGUUACAAAGGCAUUUCAUUUUUUAAAUAACCUAAGCAUUACUAAAUUGAAUAUAAUGAUAAAACACACUAAUAUUGAACAUAAGAAAAAAGAAUCACUGGAAAAACUUUUUUCAAAGUUAAGUUAUUCACAAACUAGUGAUUCACAUAAAUUUCAAAUAAUUCAAAAUUUAAACUAUUCAAAUUUGAAAUCUACCGGCACUAAGAGAGAGUUUGUAAUUUUUUGUACCUAAAGCAAAAAUAUUCACAAAGAAACUCUAAAUACAACAAAAAACAACUCAAAAAUAAAUAAAACAAAAAAAUAAAGCAAAAAAAAGCCCGCCUACUGGGCCAAAGCGGCCUGCAUACGACCAGCGACACAACCUUUCAUUGGGCCAGGAUGCAGGCCCGCGAAGGCCCAGUAGGCCCACAAGGCGAGGAGGACAGGUAGGCCCAGUAGGCCUGACUAGGAGAGGAGCUCGAGAGAGCUACCGCACUGGGGCUUAUAAACCAGUGCGGUAGCCCCUCGACUAGCGAGGUGGGACUAAACUUCCGCACCGCACCUGCGCCAGCGCACCCCCUUUAGUACCGGGUCAUGGCACAAACCGGUACUAAAGGGGGGGCCUUUAGUACCGGUUUGUGCCACCACCCGGUACUAAAGGGGGUCGCUUCCCGCCGCUUGGCCUGGCCAAAACAGACCUUUAGUACCGGUUGGUGGCUCCAAC
This 1025-nucleotide long non-coding RNA is filed under the name Triticum aestivum (bread wheat). RNAcentral's name for it is "long non-coding RNA (TAES_LNC010005)". Lineage: Eukaryota; Viridiplantae; Streptophyta; Magnoliopsida; Poales; Poaceae. The record is from RNAcentral.